AGUGCUUGAGAAAGACAUCAUUUCCGCAUCUCCACUUCUUUCCAACCCACAGAAACAUGGCGGUACAACAUAGCGGACUCUGCGAACAAGGACCCACUCCCUGUGUAGAUAUAAACGGCUCAUUCAAAGGCAAAUGCUUGGCAGAGUGGAGACGCUGCCAAGGAGUUACUCUGUGGGUGUCACGUGCUGUGCUGCUGGACAAAAAUCCUUAAAGACUGAUACCCCCACCCUCCACCGCUGGAGCAGUGCCAGCAGAGCAAGAAGGAUCACCAGGGUUCAAAGAGGCUGAUACAGUUGAUUAGUGGAUGGUUUUGUUUCUUGUUUGCCUUCUUUGAUGGAGAAGCAUUGUCUAGUGUAAGUACAUAUACUCUAAAUUGUUCACACUGGAUGGUUUGCAUUGUUUAAGUUCAGUCUCACUUUGUUUUCUUGGGCCAUGGAGGAUUUUUAAGGCAAAUUAUUCUUAAAAUCUUUGUUCACACAAGUUUUCUGGCCUCUUGGUGAUGGGCUGUGAUGUAUGAG
Epinephelus moara (kelp grouper) is the source of this 519-nucleotide long non-coding RNA. RefSeq lists it as uncharacterized. Lineage: Eukaryota; Metazoa; Chordata; Actinopteri; Perciformes; Serranidae. The record is from RefSeq and is a predicted model, not a curated record. The transcript is spliced from 3 exons.